Molecule: long non-coding RNA, 924 nt
Organism: Brassica rapa (field mustard)
Lineage: Eukaryota; Viridiplantae; Streptophyta; Magnoliopsida; Brassicales; Brassicaceae
Source: RefSeq, a predicted model, not a curated record
UUGUGUUGAUCGGGCCAAGUUUUGGUACGACACUUAAUAAGCAAUCUAUUAUGGGCCCACUUCUAUUCUCCGAGUCUUCGUCUUCUCGAUUUCCCUUGCUCCCAUGGGUGUUCCUCUGUCAAACGUUACUUCUUUUAAUUGAUUCACGCCUUAAAGCGAGUACUUUAACUUCUUCCGGCCUCUAAACCCACUACGCCGGCUUCAAUGAUCCGUCUUCAACAUCGAUUUCAUUACCCCUAAUUCUUCAUACUAUAAAUAAGUCAUGAAGCCCUCUCCAUAUUGCAGUGCUUCAUCUUAUUUUUUUGAUGGUUUCCUUACAAACUUUGAUUGCAUGAAAUUAUAAGAAAUUUAUAUCCAGAAAGAAAUCGUGAGAAAAUAAUAUUUGCUUGUCGUUUUGUGUGCUUGACUGUGUUUAUAGAUAUGAAUGUGCUUAUAAGUGCGAUGCUAUGAUCUUCAGGUACCAUGGCUCCACUCUGAUAUCAGCAAGUUUUUCAGGCCUUCCAGCACUGCACUUUUGAUUUACCUGCACCGUGAAACGGAAGUGGAGUUCUCAACCAGAUUAGUCAAGAAUGCAAAGGAUCUUAUCAUUAAAGAGGGACCAGAAACAGUAAUCAUUCGAUUGAUUACUUAUGGAAAUUGCCAUCUUUAUGUGUUAGGAUGAUGUUGGCAUCUCAAUAUAACACAAAUAUCUUCUUUCUAGAUUGGUGCUUUUAUAGUUGAACCAGUCAUGGUUGCUGUUCGUGUGUUACCUCCACCUGCUACGUAAUUUGAAAAGGUCUAAGCGGUUGUUUGCAGUAUGAUAUCCUGCUCAUUGCUGUUGAAGUAUGUGCUUAUCUAACUGAACCAUGUUCAUUACCAUGACCCCAAAAUCGAUGGAGAACAAAAAUACAUGACUAACCAUUUGUAUUUUGUUUGGCCUUUAAG